GCAAUCAUAUGCUUUGGUUAGAUGAGACUAUCACUUUAGGUGGGUUCAGCAUGAUGCACAGGAUAACUAUGUGGAAAAACACAUCGGGUCCAUUGUUAAGUAAGGUGAAGGAUCUGCGGUGGACCUCUUUCUUGGAAGCUUUUUACAGCACGUGGCGUCAUAAUAUCUUUGAAAUUCAAGAACAUUUUAAUCAAAAAUCUGGUGUGCUUGGUCAAAAAACUGAGAAAUUGGUCACCAUUGGGUCAUUCAGCAGGAUAAUGAUCCAAAACAGAUAACCAAAUCAACACAUAACUGGUCCACCUACAACAAAUUCACCUUUCUUUCAGGUCAUCUCUGUCCCAAAAACAUCAUCGUUAGAAGAAACUGUUGGUCAUCAAUGUGCAAGAGGCAGGAUAAACUCUGGACACGAUGCGCUUGCCUAAGGCCAGAUUGGCCUAAUGUGCAUGUUUUGGACUGUAGGAGGAAGUCAUAGCAACAGGACAAAAACAAACAUGGUGAAAAUGUGCAAACACCACAAGAAAAGGCCCACGCCAGGAUUCAAAUGCAGGACAAGCCUCUAGUGCUUCAACUGUUUCUAACCUAAGGCUUUGUUUGCCAUGCUGAGGCUCAACUACGACCCAGAGGUUUCUGAGGAAUUAAGAUUAUCGUCUACUGGAAAUUUGAUCUACGUUUUUGUGGACUUCAUUCCCAACCACCUGUACUUUUCG
Long non-coding RNA from Girardinichthys multiradiatus, 707 nucleotides. RefSeq lists it as uncharacterized. The record is from RefSeq and is a predicted model, not a curated record. NCBI's taxonomy places the organism in Eukaryota, Metazoa, Chordata, Actinopteri, Cyprinodontiformes, Goodeidae. The transcript is spliced from 3 exons.